Molecule: long non-coding RNA, 270 nt
Organism: Thrips palmi
Lineage: Eukaryota; Metazoa; Arthropoda; Insecta; Thysanoptera; Thripidae
Exons: 3
Source: RefSeq, a predicted model, not a curated record
UUCAAAUUAUCACUCCAGAAAAAAAUUCGGUGAGCAGUCCAGCCAAAUGGAAUGUUACAGUUUCAUCCGAUAUUCCAAACUCCCCAGUUAUACUCAUAAGUAGUCCUGCUACAUCAGGAAAUUGGCGAGUUAGGGGCAAUGAUGACACAAGUGAUCAUGAGGCUGACUCAAUCAACAACUCAUCAUAUCAGAAUGGAAACUUUCAGAGGGACACUCAUGAUUCUACUGACCCUACUGACAGCAAUACUUCCAAAAGAUGCAACAGCAACC